GGCGGAGGCGGGGCGGAGGCGGGGCGGAGGCGGGGCGGAGGCGGGGCGGAGGCGGGGCGGAGGCGGGGCCUGGCUGUGGCGGCGACGCCGGUGGGUAGCUGGGUUUAGAGCAGGGGGACUACGGGUCGGCGUUGGGCUCAGUGGGGUCGGACGAAGGACAGGCCGGACGGGAAUCUUCGCGGCGCCUGUUGACGGCUAGCUGAGCGGCCAGUCGAGGCUUCUCGGUCGCCCAGUGCCCCCGCCGCGCGGUCUCAGGCGGCUUUUCGGUUCACCGCAGCCAGCGCCACGGUGGGGGCCCGGCCCAGCGGCACCUGCUGCCGAGCACCGCCCCCGCCAGGUGCUCAUGAUGGGGCUCAUCUUCCCUGAGCUAUGGAGCCACUUCUGUAACCAAGGAUCUGUUCUUUGAAGACUGUUUAGAAGAAAAGGUUAAAUGAUCCACUACCAGUGUGCCACCUUUGUGUACGAAAGGAGACACCAGAAGAGCAAAGUAUCAUCACAUACUGCGGUAAAGAGAUUUUGCUGUCAAGGUUGAUAUGAUGUCACUUCCUUCAAAGUCCAAGAACAAGCCUUGUUUGGUCUCUGUCUCAUUCCGCUGCAGGGUGCGUCAAGAAUUCGGUCAAAGGAUUCUGACUGUUGGAAAUGAGAGUCACUGAACUUUAUGAGUGCCAUGAGGAUCCUAUCACCCAUUGUUCUCAACUGAAAUUUUUUGAAAACAGGAAAAGCCCCACUCCCAUUUUGUUUUACACAUCUAUAAGUUAUUGUAAAACAAAAACAGUAUUUUAAUUCUCAUUCAUAAAGCAUGCACCUCCCAGAAUACAUUCCCUGACAGAGGGGAAAGACCACUGGACAAGUAAGAAAAUCACAAUUCAUAUACUCUUUGUACCUCUUUCUAGCUGUGCACUUGGGUAAGAGAAGCCUUACCUCAGUAAACUUCCAGUUACGUAUCUGUAAAAUGAAAUACACACACCCAUACAUCUAGACUAUCUAGAAUAGAAUAUCUAGAAUAUCUAGAACAAUAUCUCCAUUAUCAUUAAAUUGAAUGCUACAAAUUAUAACAUUUUAUGAUAAAGAUAUUACUAAACUAUCUGGUCCUUAAGUACAGGGGUCAUUUCUCCUUUAUAUUUCCAUAGCUAGUGUUCAAAUAUUUAUUGAAUAGAUAGAUUUUUUAAAUAAAUUGAAAAUUAAAUAAAAUAUUAAGAUGGCAAGGAUAUGUGUGACAGACAGAAUAAUGUCCACCCAAAGAUGUCCACAACCUACUCCCCACAACCUGUGAGUAUGUCAUGUGGCAAAGGGGAAUUAAGGCUGCAAAUGGAAUUAAGAUGGCUAAUCAGCUGAUCUUAAAAUCAGGAGAGUAUCCUGGAUUAUCACUGUGGGCUCAAUGUGACCUCCAAAUUCGUAAAAGUGGACGAAGACAGAAGAUGGAAAGCAACAGAGCUGGCAGCAUAAAGAGGACUCCGCUUGAGGUCAUUGCCUUUGAAGAUGGA
RNAcentral lists this long non-coding RNA (1484 nucleotides) under Equus caballus (horse). RNAcentral describes it as "lncRNA (ENSECAG00000058265.1)". Lineage: Eukaryota; Metazoa; Chordata; Mammalia; Perissodactyla; Equidae. The record is from RNAcentral.